UACGGAGGGUGCGAGCGUUGUCCGGAAUCACUGGGCGUAAAGGGCGCGUAGGUGGCCGAGCAAGGGUGCGGUGAAAGCCCGGGGCUCAACCCCGGGUCGGCCGUGGCAACUACUCGGCUUGAGCACUGUAGGGGCGGGUGGAAUUCCGGGUGUAGCGGUGGAAUGCGUAGAGAUCCGGAAGAACACCGGUGGCGAAGGCGGCCCGCUGGGCAGGAAGGCUCGCAAGAGCCGGCUGACACUGAGGCGCGACAGCGUGGGGAGCAAACAGG
Molecule: ribosomal RNA, 269 nt
Filed under: uncultured bacterium
Lineage: Bacteria
Description: partial 16S ribosomal RNA
Rfam family: Bacterial small subunit ribosomal RNA
Source: RNAcentral